RNAcentral lists this transfer RNA (74 nucleotides) under Bacillus pseudomycoides. RNAcentral describes it as "tRNA-Und (NNN) (tRNA-Und-NNN-1-1, tRNA-Und-NNN-1-2, tRNA-Und-NNN-2 1 to 3)". It matches the Rfam family "tRNA". Rfam says of the family: Transfer RNA (tRNA) molecules are approximately 80 nucleotides in length. Their secondary structure includes four short double-helical elements and three loops (D, anti-codon, and T loops). Lineage: Bacteria; Bacillati; Bacillota; Bacilli; Caryophanales; Bacillaceae. The record is from RNAcentral.
GGGGCCAUAGCCAAACGGUCAAGGCAGGAAGCUUCUACUUCUGAUUAAUGGUUCGAAUCCAUUUGGCCUCUCCA